AGUCGUCCUUCCCUCCCCCUUUCAAGAAGGUGGCCGUGCUCUCUUGUACCUGUGGCUUGAGGGAUUCUUUUGGAACGGGGAGCCCCUGAGAGCAGAAGGUGCCUGAAACCAGUGGCUCAUCCAGUCUUUAAUGAAAGCCCAAGUCCAUUGAAGUGAUGGGUGAUGCUGAGUGUUGCAGGAGAGGUGCAGGAGGGAAGUGGGGGAGGAGAAAAGAGAAUAUGAAGGCACAGUGAGAUAUCUACCAAACUAUUCCUUCCUCCAAGGCCUCUCCACG
RNAcentral lists this long non-coding RNA (274 nucleotides) under Equus caballus (horse). RNAcentral describes it as "lncRNA (ENSECAG00000058641.1)". The record is from RNAcentral. Lineage: Eukaryota; Metazoa; Chordata; Mammalia; Perissodactyla; Equidae.